Molecule: transfer RNA, 86 nt
Filed under: Aerococcus sp.
Lineage: Bacteria; Bacillati; Bacillota; Bacilli; Lactobacillales; Aerococcaceae
Description: tRNA-Leu
Rfam family: tRNA
About the family: Transfer RNA (tRNA) molecules are approximately 80 nucleotides in length. Their secondary structure includes four short double-helical elements and three loops (D, anti-codon, and T loops). Further hydrogen bonds mediate the characteristic L-shaped molecular structure. tRNAs have two regions of fundamental functional importance: the anti-codon, which is responsible for specific mRNA codon recognition, and the 3' end, to which the tRNAs corresponding amino acid is attached (by aminoacyl-tRNA synthetases). tRNAs cope with the degeneracy of the genetic code in two manners: having more than one tRNA (with a specific anti-codon) for a particular amino acid; and 'wobble' base-pairing, i.e. permitting non-standard base-pairing at the 3rd anti-codon position.
Source: RNAcentral
GCCGGUGUGGCGGAAUUGGCAGACGCGCUGGACUCAAAAUCCAGUUCCUUUCAUUGGGAGUGUGGGUUCGACUCCCACCACCGGCA